GACGAACGCUGGCGGCGUGCUUAACACAUGCAAGUCGAACGGAAAGGCCCUGCUUUUGUGGGGUGCUCGAGUGGCGAACGGGUGAGUAACACGUGAGUAACCUGCCCUUGACUUUGGGAUAACUUCAGGAAACUGGGGCUAAUACCGGAUAGGAGCUCCUGCUGCAUGGUGGGGGUUGGAAAGUUUCGGCGGUUGGGGAUGGACUCGCGGCUUAUCAGCUUGUUGGUGGGGUAGUGGCUUACCAAGGCUUUGACGGGUAGCCGGCCUGAGAGGGUGACCGGCGACAUUGGGACUGAGAGACGGCCCAGACUCCUACGGGAGGCAGCAGUGGGGAAUAUUGCACAAUGGGCGGAAGCCUGAGGCAGCAACGCCGCGUGCGGGAUGACGGCCUUCGGGUUGUGAACCGCUUUCGCCUGUGACGAAGCGUGAGUGACGGUAAUGGGUAAAGAAGCACCGGCUAACUACGUG
This 468-nucleotide ribosomal RNA is filed under the name uncultured bacterium. Its description in RNAcentral is "partial 16S ribosomal RNA". It matches the Rfam family "Bacterial small subunit ribosomal RNA", at positions 28 to 507 of the family's 1533-position model. The record is from RNAcentral.